CGCCUGGGGAGUACGGCCGCAAGGUUAAAACUCAAAUGAAUUGACGGGGGCCCGCACAAGCGGUGGAGCAUGUGGUUUAAUUCGAUGCAACGCGAAGAACCUUACCUACUCUUGACAUCCUCAGAAUUUGCUGGAGACAGCGAAGUGCCUUCGGGAACUGAGAGACAGGUGCUGCAUGGCUGUCGUCAGCUCGUGUUGUGAAAUGUUGGGUUAAGUCCCGCAACGAGCGCAACCCUUAUCCUUUGUUGCCAGCGCGUGAUGGCGGGAACUCAAAGGAGACUGCCGGUGAUAAACCGGAGGAAGGUGGGGAUGACGUCAAGUCAUCAUGGCCCUUACGAGUAGGGCUACACACGUGCUACAAUGGCGGAUACAAAGUGAAGCGACCUCGCGAGAGCAAGCGGAACACACAAAGUCUGUCGUAGUCCGGAUUGGAGUCUGCAACUCGACUCCAUGAAGUCGGAAUCGCUAGUAAUCGUAGAUCAGCAUGCUACGGUGAAUACGUUCCCGGGCCUUGUACACACCGCCCGUCACACCAUGGGAGUGGGUGGCAAAAGAAGUCGGUAGCUUAACCUUUUUGGAGGGCGCUGACCACUUUGUGGCUCAUGACUGGGGUGAAGUCGUAACAAGGUAACCGUAGGGGAACCUGCGGUUGGAUCACCUCCUUACCU
RNAcentral lists this ribosomal RNA (668 nucleotides) under Photorhabdus luminescens. Its description in RNAcentral is "bacterial SSU rRNA". It matches the Rfam family "Bacterial small subunit ribosomal RNA", at positions 870 to 1533 of the family's 1533-position model. Lineage: Bacteria; Pseudomonadati; Pseudomonadota; Gammaproteobacteria; Enterobacterales; Morganellaceae. The record is from RNAcentral.